UGAAGGCUAGACUUCCAGAGAAGGAUCAACUAAAGGUGUGUGGUUAGAAAGGAAUUACUGUAAUUAAUCAACCACCCAAUAAGUACACUUUGGUAAGACACAUCACUGACUAAUGCUUUCUGUUUGAGCGGGCUGCUCUUCCACAGAAAGAGUUUUGGAAUGAUGUCAGGAUGAGGAAGAAAAACAGAACAGUUCUAAGUAAGGAAGAUUAAAGGAGGUACUGUACAUACGCUACCGUUCCAAAGUUUGGGGUCACUUAGGAAUUUCCUUGUUUUUGAAAGAAAAGCACAUUUUUUGUCCAUUAAAAUAACAUC
This is a non-coding RNA of Salmo salar (Atlantic salmon), 314 nucleotides long. The record is from RefSeq and is a predicted model, not a curated record. Lineage: Eukaryota; Metazoa; Chordata; Actinopteri; Salmoniformes; Salmonidae.